GAUGAACGCUGGCGGCGUGCCUAAUACAUGCAAGUCGAGCGAACGGACGAGAAGCUUGCUUCUCUGAUGUUAGCGGCGGACGGGUGAGUAACACGUGGAUAACCUACCUAUAAGACUGGGAUAACUUCGGGAAACCGGAGCUAAUACCGGAUAAUAUUUUGAACCGCAUGGUUCAAAAGUAAAAGACGGUCUUGCUGUCACUUAUAGAUGGAUCCGCGCUGCAUUAGCUAGUUGGUAAGGUAACGGCUUACCAAGGCAACGAUGCAUAGCCGACCUGAGAGGGUGAUCGGCCACACUGGAACUGGGACACGGUCCAGACUCCUACGGGAGGCAGCAGUAGGGAAUCUUCCGCAAUGGGCGAAAGCCUGACGGAGCAACGCCGCGUGAGUGAUGAAGGUCUUCGGAUCGUAAAACUCUGUUAUUAGGGAAGAACAUAUGUGUAAGUAACUGUGCACAUCUUGACGGUACCUAAUCAGAAAGCCACGGCUAACUACGU
RNAcentral lists this ribosomal RNA (496 nucleotides) under uncultured bacterium. RNAcentral's name for it is "partial 16S ribosomal RNA". It matches the Rfam family "Bacterial small subunit ribosomal RNA", at positions 28 to 506 of the family's 1533-position model. The record is from RNAcentral.